RNAcentral lists this non-coding RNA (30 nucleotides) under Rattus norvegicus (Norway rat). The record is from RNAcentral. Lineage: Eukaryota; Metazoa; Chordata; Mammalia; Rodentia; Muridae.
UUCAUGGUCUCAAAUGCAUGCUGGUCAUUU